AGAACGAACGCUGGCGGCAUGCCUAAUACAUGCAAGUCGAACGAACACUUCGGUGUUAGUGGCGCACGGGUGCGUAACGCGUGGGAAUCUGCCCUUGGGUUCGGAAUAACAGUUGGAAACGACUGCUAAUACCGGAUGAUAUCGAAAGAUCAAAGAUUUAUCGCCCAGGGAUGAGCCCGCGUAGGAUUAGCUAGUUGGUGAGGUAAAGGCUCACCAAGGCGACGAUCCUUAGCUGGUCUGAGAGGAUGAUCAGCCACACUGGGACUGAGACACGGCCCAGACUCCUACGGGAGGCAGCAGUAGGGAAUAUUGGACAAUGGGCGCAAGCCUGAUCCAGCAAUGCCGCGUGAGUGAUGAAGGCCUUAGGGUUGUAAAGCUCUUUACCCGAGAUGAAUAAUGACAGUAUCGGAGAAUAAGCCCCGGCUAACUCCGCGCCAGCAGCCGC
This 445-nucleotide ribosomal RNA is filed under the name uncultured soil bacterium. Its description in RNAcentral is "bacterial SSU rRNA". It matches the Rfam family "Bacterial small subunit ribosomal RNA", at positions 26 to 518 of the family's 1533-position model. The record is from RNAcentral.